Molecule: long non-coding RNA, 1654 nt
Organism: Monodelphis domestica (gray short-tailed opossum)
Lineage: Eukaryota; Metazoa; Chordata; Mammalia; Didelphimorphia; Didelphidae
Source: Ensembl
ACACAGACGGCAGGGAAACAUAGAGAGAAGGGGGAAGCCUGUAGCCCCCUGGCUGGGUCCUUCCAUCUGAGUCUCAAGGGAGGUUCCAGCUUUAGAGCACCAGCUGAACCCAAUCCCAUCAGGAGCCCUCAGAGCUACUGAAAGGACAGAAACCUCAGGGCCGGCAAAGGGGUUACUCCAAAGAGCUUACCUUGAAAGCAUCCUGGGCCAGUCUCCGGGCAUUCAACACAGACUGUAGAGGAGGAGUUUUGUUUUGUUUUUUUUGGUCCGGGGAGCAUUGGGCCCACAUCAGCUGAACUUAAUCCUCUCAGGAGCCCUCAGAACCCAGGGAGGCCAAGACCCCUCCCCACUUAGAGAGCAGGGUCUUUGGAAAGAACAGAAACCUCAGGGGUUGCUCCAAUGGGCAUUCCUUGAAAGCAACCUGGGCCAGUCUCUGGGCAUUCAAAACAGAUUGUGGAGGAUAUUCUGGAAAGCAAGGAACUAGGUCUAAAACCAAGAAUAAAAUACCCAUCAAAACUGACUAUAUUCUUACAGGGGAAAGUAUGGUCAUUCAACACAACAGAAGAGUUCCAAGCAUUCAUAAAUAAAAGACCAGACCUGAACAGAAAAUUUGAUGUCCAACCACAGAACUCAAGAGAAUCGUCAAAAGGUACAACAGAAAAUGAGAAUGGAAGUAGAGAAGACAGUGCCAAAAGGAGCAAGACCACAUGGCAGCAUGAAAUGCCAACUGACAAGAGAGACAAAAAUUAGGAGAUCAAAAACAGGCACCAUCUUUACCAAAAUAGCCAUGAUAACAUGUUUUGUGGAGGCAAAAAAGCUGGAAACAAAGUAUAUUCAAAUAUAGGGGAAAUAGAGGACCAAUAACAUCAUGGAGAGAUGUCUUGGUUUGAGAAUGAAUUGGAUUUAAGUGAGGAAGAGUUGCACAAAGUCAUCAGCCUCACUUCAAGAGUCGCCCAAGUCCGGCGGCAAGGCGAAAAUCAAGAUGACUGGCACUAGCCUGGGAGGCAAUGGAUGACCUUGGCAUCUUCAAUGUCUAACCAAGCUCUAGGCAUUCCACACGACCUGCUUCAGCCACCUUCAUGACUGUUGGAGCAAAUUGUUCUAAUCCACCCAUUCCUUUGGGGAAAGUUCUCACAUGCUCGCGACAGACAUCCUCCUAACUCACCAACAGGUUUGAGGACUAUUGGUUACCAUCAGCCUGGUUUAGCCUAUCAGCUAAGAUAGUUUCAACUGGGGCUGGCCAUUAUGUAUGCUAUAGCUUCUUGGAGCUACAGGCGAGACUUGGGUGAAAGGUAGACACCAAAGAUGGAAGGAGUAGCCCUGAAAAGGGCUUGGCAAGCCCUCCUACCAGAAAUGCCAGUCCUCUCUGAACACGCCAUACCCCAAGACUUUCUAACCCAAUAGGAAACAGAGCUUGGUUUCAGAACCAGGACCUCUGGCUCCAAAUACAGCAGAGGUGGUGGUGGCGGUGGCGGUGGUGGUGUUUUAAAUCCUGUGCCAUACCCUCCCUCAUAGACAUCCUUUAGCUAUGCCAAAUUGGCCAAAGACAUGCAAGGCUAGUUGAAUUUUGAUGAAUUGGCACUUGAAUAUAUAGGCUGUCCCUCGUGGACAAUAAUUCAAUAAACAUAAACUGAAUUCCUUCUGUAUGCCGGAU